CAUGGUUCAUUAGCCCAGUCCAGAGUUGGAGUGGAAGGACUCAGGCAUGCCUGGGUGUGUUUGUGCAUCCUAGUUUCUCUGGCAGUUUGGUGACUCUCACAGAAGUGUAAUUGUGAGCAAAGUUUUAUUCCAGUGGAUGCAGCACGUAGAAAGAAGUUCACCUUCAGUUAGAGAGGAUCUUAAUAUGACCUUCCGUAAAAAAGGGGCAUUGUUUUGAGUUGUUAAACAGCUGCUGUGUUCCACCCCACUAAUGGUUGCAAUUCAGGAGUGAAUAAUAUAAGCCUUAGAUAAACAGCUGGUAAAAUAAUUGGGAUCUUUCCUGGCAGGGGGAAGCAGGCAAGUUACUCAACAAAAAGAAAUUAUUAUUCUCACUGCCUAGGAAAUGAAGUGCUCUCCUUUUCAUCAUCAAGUGGGCUGUCAGACAAAAUCUCUCCCCGCCCUUCUGGAAGCAACCCAUACCACUUGUAGUGCUCUCUUGCCAUCUUCACUCUCUUAGGAAGCAAGAGACCAUUUUAGUUUGGAUUAAUUUAUCUUCUCUCUUUUACCUUCUGACCUUUGUCUCCUUCUCUACCCCAUCCCUGGUCUUAAAAAUUACCCUUCCAACUGCCCUUCUGCUGUUCUGUAGGGCAACAAACACUGUCUCCUUUCUCGUGGCAGCUGUGACAUGAGUGCAAGAGAAGCAGAAGCUUCCCCCAGCCGCUCCCUCCUGCCCAACUCGGCGUGUCCACUCGGUACACGCUGUGUCUGCUGGGCUGGGGCAGGACUGCAGAGCACCGGGCCUUGGGUCUUGGCCUCCAUCGGAUGAACAAUUUCCCGUUGAAGGUUACUCACUUCCUGUUUUCCGUAUUUAGACAAUCUGGGCCUAUUGGGAGCUUUGAUUUGUUGUAAACUUCAGCUGUUUUAAACGUUAAGUCGCGGGAGACUGAGGCUAAUUUCCAAGGGGAGAUGCCUCACCACAAAAUCUCCCUCUCUGCCCUGCCACAGUUGGUACUGAUUUGACUGUCUCUGCAGAGAAGCCAAGGAUCAAAUGCUCCAUGGCGCCAGACUGUUUUCUUUUGCAGCCUGCAGGAACUGCUGAAGCCUCUGCUCAGAGAAGCACGCUCCUCCGGGCGCUGGGGGAUGCACCACCCCUCCUGACAGCCUGAUGGAUUAUGGCCCCAGUUCUGUCAGCAGAUCCAACCAAACCAGCAAACCGACAGCACAGAGGCAGCCCCCAGGUAAGCCACCAUCACAAUCUGAAUGGGAUGUGUACUGUGCAACCAAAGCAAACAGCUUGAUUAUUCCUGUUUUAAAGAGAUGUUGCUAGUUCUCCUUUCUCAGUUAUUCAAGCAUAGAAGGAGAGAGGCUGAGUUUAGUUAUCCCGUUUUAAACCUGCCUGAAAAAGAACAUGUUUCUUUUUAAAUGAAGCUUGCACAGUAUGCUAUAAACUGCCUUCUUUUUUUUCUUUUUUUUUUUUUUUUAAUGGGUGUUUGCACUAAGCCUUGCUGAACAAGUUAGAGAGAUUAUUAACUCAUCUGAAAUGAUGCAGGAAGGCCUUGUCCCAGUUGUGUGUUCUUCCUUCAGCACAUGGAGAGCUGCUGCAACUCCGUGGUAUUCACAAGCAGGACUUGCAACCAGGGCUGGGCAAAAGACUGCAGGGGGAAAGAGAAGCACUGCUAGAAAGAGCUGGGAUUUACACACACACACACAGAAAAAGGAACCAAGGUUAUUUUUUUUUCUUAAUGAGUAGAG
Molecule: long non-coding RNA, 1731 nt
Organism: Parus major (Great Tit)
Lineage: Eukaryota; Metazoa; Chordata; Aves; Passeriformes; Paridae
Exons: 3
Source: RefSeq, a predicted model, not a curated record